Molecule: unclassified non-coding RNA, 20 nt
Filed under: Mus musculus (house mouse)
Lineage: Eukaryota; Metazoa; Chordata; Mammalia; Rodentia; Muridae
Description: oocyte_clustered_small_RNA5148
Source: RNAcentral
AUUAAGGAUGUGGAGGAACA